CACUCGCCCUGCGGAGCUCAGGGCGGAGGCGGUGGCAGUCCGCGCAGUCCGGGAGCUUCCGGGCCGUGGCUGCUGGACGGGGCGGCGGGCGCUGGCAACCGAGGGCUCGCGGGAAGGUUCGGGCGCCUCCGUGGGCAAGGACGGGGAGGCGGCGCCUCGGCACUGCCUCUGAUAGUUUUGCUGCUCCAGGUCCUUGUUUGAACGCCGCCUCCCGGUGCCUUUGCUCAGUCUAGGGUACCGGCGCGCGGCUGGAGCCGGAGGACCGUGCGGGCAGUUCUCUAGCCCCGGGCGAAAACGGAGACCCGAGGACUGUAGAACGCAGCCCCGAGGGUGCUCAGUGACUUGCCGUGUGAGGCCAGACAGAACCCUUGCCAUGGUGGAGUCCGAGGAUUUGGCACAGCUGCGGCAGCUCAACCUGAAGCUCAUGCAGCAGCUGUGGGUUGGGCAGGAGGCUGUGCGGCAGUCAGUGGCCAAGGCAGCCUCAGAGUCAAGCCCGGACUCCAAAAGCAGCUACGACUCAGAGAUACCAUCUUCCCAAGAGGUGUCCUCAGUGGCCCUGAGAGCUUCCUGCCUGCCGGACGCCCACCAAGGUGACCCCUGUGAUGUGUCCUGGCAUCGCAGGGCCAGCUCCAGGGUGAUCUCCCUCUCACGUGGCACAUGCCAGUACCAGAAGUCCCUGGGCCCGCUGGGGCCCCAGAAGGCACCCACCUCAAACUCGAAUGACCCAGAGCUUUCAGCAGAGCUGGACAGUCCAGGAUCCCAGGAAGAUCCUGAGAUCCUGAGAUCUCAGGCCCUGAGAUCCACCCUGGAUCAACGAAGUAUGCUGUCCAAGCGGAGAGUGACCUUCAGCAGGGAACCUCCAGUGCCUGAGGAGAGCUGGCGCCUCAGACCGUACCUGGGCUACGAUUGGAUUGCAGCGUCUCUGGACAGCAGCUCGCCCGUCACCAGCAAGCCUGAGGCCUUCUUCUCAAAGCUGCAGAAGUUCCGGGAAGCCAACAAGGAAGAAUGUAUUAACAGUGACCCCGAGUCCCAGUUCCUAGGCCUGCCCGGGAGCAGUGGUGUGGAGGGGGAGCACGAAUGUGUGUACAGUUAUCGUGUCAACCGGCGCCUGUUUCUGGUGCCAUCGGAUCCUGGCACCCCCUGCCGCCUGUGCAGGACACCACGGGACCAACGGGGCCCUGAGACCCUGGCAGAGCCAGCACAGGUCAGGGUGAGCGUCCCAUUGUCUCUCCUGGACCCCCCCCACCGGUACCACAUCCAUCGGCGGAAGAGCUUCGAUGCCUCUGACACGCUGGCCCUGCCCCGGCACUGCCUGCUGGGCUGGGACGUCCUCCCUCCCAAGUCCGACAGGAGCUCAGCGCCCAAGAGCCUGGAUCUCUGGUCCUGUGUCUCCUCCAAGGCUCAGCACCAGCAGCUGUCGGCCAGCGGCCCUUCCCACGUGGUGUGGUCCAGGGUGCCCCAGGAGGGACAGACGUCUUGGGGCAGCCCUGGGGAGGGCACAGCCCCUGUCCCCGGGGGCAGGAUGGGGGCAGGAAGGGAAGAGCCUGAUAAAGCAUCUCUACAAGGGCCUGUCCCCUGGCCCUGACCCAAGACAGCCUCCCAGGCUCCUCCACUCCCCGCUGGCUACCUACCGCACCUCACCCAUGGAGCUCCAGAUGCUGACAUGUGCUGGGUCUGUCCUGCUGAAGCCCACAUUCCUGGGAGGCGCCCUGUCCCCAGCCUGCCCACCCCUCACCUGGGAAAGGUACUUCUGACAACCUGCACUGGGCCGCCUGCAUCCAGCAUUGGUGUGUCUCUGUGCACCUUCCAACUCUGGGUAGAUGGCCUCCCAGGUAGGGCUACAGUCACUAAGACAGGCUGGGGCCACCAUCAGUGUUAGAAGUCCAUCUCAGCAAGGGGCUCGGGGUCUCAGGUUGACCCCUGCAGGUGCCUGUGGGCAGCAGGGAGUGACGAGUUCUCCCCUUGUUGGCCCAUACACUGGGGUCCAUCAGCAGAAGGGCCAUCGUGGAGUCAUCGGGCCAGCUGGCUCCUCCUCUCACUCCAGCCCAGCCCUGGAAGCCGUGUGUGAUCAGAGCCGCAGCAGGGACAGGUGGAGACACAGGGCCAGGCAGCGAGUCGGUGCCCGCUGGCAGAGAGCCCAGAUCCCCCCAGAUCAUAAGCAGUGCCUGCCUCCCCCCACGGGGUGAGCAGUAGGGAAGCCCUGCCUCUGUAGGAGACAAAUGGAGCAGUUGGUGAGCCCAGAGAAGGCCUGUGCUUGCUGGGGUAUCUAGGCUGAGGCGUGGGGCUCCCGCCUUCCACCAGAGCUUGUGAGGCCAUGGAAACCUUCUCUUCCAGUGCUGACAGCACGUGUGGUUGGAUAAGUGGGGUUACAUUAACCCCACAUCUCAGUGCUUUGACAUAAAGGUUAUUUUUUGCUGACUUGCUC
Manis javanica (Malayan pangolin) is the source of this 2425-nucleotide non-coding RNA. The record is from RefSeq and is a predicted model, not a curated record. NCBI's taxonomy places the organism in Eukaryota, Metazoa, Chordata, Mammalia, Pholidota, Manidae.